CAUCGAUUCUGCGACAAAGGAAUCCCGCGGGCUUGCUUUUACAUUUCAGGACGCGACGACUUUAAGUCCAUGCGCUUGCCCAGUGGUUACGUAGUUUUGAGGCCUCUCGCUCAGUGCGUCCCGAGGAUCAGAAAUUAUUUGUGAGUGACGAUCCGAAGUUGUUGCUAUGUCUCGUUUUUUUACUACUGGCUCAGACAGUGAGUCAGAAUCGUCACUUUCUGGAGAUGAAUUAGUAACCAAGCCUGUUGGAGGCAAUUUUGGGAAACAGCCUUUCCUGCUAAGUGAGGAUGAAGAAGAUACAAAAAGAGUUGUGCGCAGUGCUAAAGACAAAAG
Ahaetulla prasina is the source of this 333-nucleotide long non-coding RNA. RefSeq lists it as uncharacterized. NCBI's taxonomy places the organism in Eukaryota, Metazoa, Chordata, Lepidosauria, Squamata, Colubridae. The transcript is spliced from 3 exons. The record is from RefSeq and is a predicted model, not a curated record.